RNAcentral lists this ribosomal RNA (250 nucleotides) under uncultured prokaryote. RNAcentral describes it as "partial 16S ribosomal RNA". It matches the Rfam family "Bacterial small subunit ribosomal RNA", at positions 524 to 773 of the family's 1533-position model. The record is from RNAcentral.
UACGGAAGGUCCGGGCGUUAUCCGGAUUUAUUGGGUUUAAAGGGAGCGCAGGCUGGAGAUUAAGCGUGACGUGAAAUGCCGCGGCUCAACCGUGGAAGUGCGUCGCGAACUGGUUUUCUUGAGUGUGCACGAGGAAGGCGGAAUUCGUGGUGUAGCGGUGAAAUGCUUAGAUAUCACGAAGAACCCCGAUUGCGAGGGCAGCCCUCCAGGGCAUUACUGACGCUAAAGCUCGAAGGUGCGGGUAUCGAAC